Molecule: ribosomal RNA, 1762 nt
Filed under: Klebsiella pneumoniae
Lineage: Bacteria; Pseudomonadati; Pseudomonadota; Gammaproteobacteria; Enterobacterales; Enterobacteriaceae
Description: partial 23S ribosomal RNA
Rfam family: Bacterial large subunit ribosomal RNA
Source: RNAcentral
CGUACACGGUGGAUGCCCUGGCAGUCAGAGGCGAUGAAGGACGUGCUAAUCUGCGAAAAGCGUCGGUAAGGUGAUAUGAACCGUUAUAACCGGCGAUGUCCGAAUGGGGAAACCCAGUGUGAUUCGUCACACUAUCGUUAACUGAAUACAUAGGUUAACGAGGCGAACCGGGGGAACUGAAACAUCUAAGUACCCCGAGGAAAAGAAAUCAACCGAGAUUCCCCCAGUAGCGGCGAGCGAACGGGGAGCAGCCCAGAGUCUGAAUCAGCUUGUGUGUUAGUGGAACGGUCUGGAAAGUCCGACGGUACAGGGUGAUAGUCCCGUACACCAAAAUGCACAGGUUGUGAACUCGAAGAGUAGGGCGGGACACGUGGUAUCCUGUCUGAAUAUGGGGGGACCAUCCUCCAAGGCUAAAUACUCCUGACUGACCGAUAGUGAACCAGUACCGUGAGGGAAAGGCGAAAAGAACCCCGGCGAGGGGAGUGAAAAAGAACCUGAAACCGUGUACGUACAAGCAGUGGGAGCACCUUCGGGUGUGACUGCGUACCUUUUGUAUAAUGGGUCAGCGACUUAUAUUCUGUAGCAAGGUUAACCGUAUAGGGGAGCCGCAGGGAAACCGAGUCUUAACUGGGCGUUAAGUUGCAGGGUAUAGACCCGAAACCCGGUGAUCUAGCCAUGGGCAGGUUGAAGGUUGGGUAACACUAACUGGAGGACCGAACCGACUAAUGUUGAAAAAUUAGCGGAUGACUUGUGGCUGGGGGUGAAAGGCCAAUCAAACCGGGAGAUAGCUGGUUCUCCCCGAAAGCUAUUUAGGUAGCGCCUCGUGAACUCAUCUUCGGGGGUAGAGCACUGUUUCGGCUAGGGGGUCAUCCCGACUUACCAACCCGAUGCAAACUACGAAUACCGAAGAAUGUUAUCACGGGAGACACACGGCGGGUGCUAACGUCCGUCGUGAAGAGGGAAACAACCCAGACCGCCAGCUAAGGUCCCAAAGUCAUGGUUAAGUGGGAAACGAUGUGGGAAGGCACAGACAGCCAGGAUGUUGGCUUAGAAGCAGCCAUCAUUUAAAGAAAGCGUAAUAGCUCACUGGUCGAGUCGGCCUGCGCGGAAGAUGUAACGGGGCUAAACCAUGCACCGAAGCUGCGGCAGCGACACUAUGUGUUGUUGGGUAGGGGAGCGUUCUGUAAGCCUGCGAAGGUGUGCUGUGAGGCAUGCUGGAGGUAUCAGAAGUGCGAAUGCUGACAUAAGUAACGAUAAAGCGGGUGAAAAGCCCGCUCGCCGGAAGACCAAGGGUUCCUGUCCAACGUUAAUCGGGGCAGGGUGAGUCGACCCCUAAGGCGAGGCCGAAAGGCGUAGUCGAUGGGAAACAGGUUAAUAUUCCUGUACUUGGUGUUACUGCGAAGGGGGGACGGAGAAGGCUAUGUUAGCCGGGCGACGGUUGUCCCGGUUUAAGCAUGUAGGCUGNNNNNNNNNNAGGAAAAGCCUCUAAGCAUCAGGUAACAUCAAAUCGUACCCCAAACCGACACAGGUGGUCAGGUAGAGAAUACCAAGGCGCUUGAGAGAACUCGGGUGAAGGAACUAGGCAAAAUGGUGCCGUAACUUCGGGAGAAGGCACGCUGGUGUGUAGGUGAAGUCCCUGCGGAUGGAGCUGAGACCAGUCGAAGAUACCAGCUGGCUGCAACUGUUUAUUAAAAACACAGCACUGUGCAAACACGAAAGUGGACGUAUACGGUGUGACGCCUGCCCGGUGCCGGAAGGUUAA